RNAcentral lists this long non-coding RNA (1218 nucleotides) under Bos indicus x Bos taurus (hybrid cattle). RNAcentral describes it as "lncRNA (ENSBIXG00005003770.1)". The record is from RNAcentral. Lineage: Eukaryota; Metazoa; Chordata; Mammalia; Artiodactyla; Bovidae.
GAAAACCUCACUUUCUGUUUCCUAAAGAGCCUCCCAUUGCCCCAGAAUUUAACCCCGCAGGAGCUUAGGGACAUCCCCGCGCCGAAAAUCCCUGGGACUGCCACCGCGCAGACCGGCGUCCCAGCCGCCUCCCGGACGGGCGCCCAGAGGCUGGCUCUGGGCCAUCGUUUCUCCCGGGCCCGCCUGAGGUUCCGGGCCGAGCCCGGUCUUAGCCGUUCUUCCGGCUGCGGGGACAGGCCUGGAGGCCUGGGCCCGGCGCCGCCUCGGGCAGCGGUGCUCCGGGUGGGCCGGGGACGUGGCCCCGGCGGGAGCGCGCGAACGAGGCCGCGCCUUCCCCGUCGCAGGGUGCAGGUGGAGGUGCUCCGUGGGUCGCUCGACCCGAGGCCGAAUGCGGGCGGGACCCCCAGCUAUUCUGGGAAAGGUCUAGGUUCGGGCGCCCCUCCUGGCUCCCCGGUCACUGUGCGCCCCUCCCUCCCCGCCUCGGGUGCAGUCGGUCUUUUUCAGUUUCUUUCCUCGACGCUUCUCGAUUACACCAUCCCUCUGCGGCACGCGCCCGCCGCCAACCCCGCGGGGGGAACUGGAGAGAUCUGCUGGCCCCGGGGGUUUGGGUCGGGCCCCCUCGGGCCGGGGACCGAGGAGGGAGGCCGCCCAGCCACCAGCAGGAGCGGGAGGUGCGCUGGACGUCCGGAGCGGGGAGGGGGCAGCGCGGGCCCUGCGUGCCUCCCCGUCUGCCGGAGCAAAGCUGCUGAAGCUGCAGAAACGCGUUGGCGCCCGUCCACCCGCUGCAAACAAAACCAAACAAAACGCGGCGAAAGGAAAAGCGAAAUGGCGCUGCUGAAAAUGGAGCCUCGGCCUCUAGGACGUCUUUCUUUUCUCCUCCGUCUCUUACUUCGGCAACUCUGUUUCUUGUCCUUUAACGCUCCGCCGCCCCUCGGCUUUUCUCCCCGUAAUCGCUACCCCAUCACCCCUUUGCUUUUCUUCUUAACCAUCUCCUUCCCCCGCUUUUCCUUCUUUUCUUUCCCCUCUCGGUUCCUCCUUCUCCAUUUUGUGUCACAGGCGCUUCUCUUCUCAGUUCCUUUCUGGGCUCGCGCUCCCCCGCCCGUCUCACUUGGUGUUUUCUGCGUGUCGGGGAGCGGGAGUGGUGGGGGUGGUGAGGCUAGGUAUCGAAUUGGUUUGGUGGAGACAGGGUUGGUUUUUUUUUUUUUUUUUUUUUUUUAG